UAGUGGCGGACGGGUGAGUAACGCGUGAGGAUCUGCCCUUAGGACGGGGACAACAGCUGGAAACGGCUGCUAAUACCCGAUGUGCCGAGAGGUGAAACUAUUUGGCCUGAGGAUGAGCUCGCGUCUGAUUAGCUAGUUGGAGUGGUAACGGCACACCAAGGCGACGAUCAGUAGCUGGUCUGAGAGGAUGAUCAGCCACACUGGGACUGAGACACGGCCCAGACUCCUACGGGAGGCAGCAGUGGGGAAUUUUCCGCAAUGGGCGAAAGCCUGACGGAGCAAGACCGCGUGCGGGAGGAAGGUCUAUUGAUUGUAAACCGCUUUUGAUAGGGAAGAAGAUCUGACGGUACCUAUCGAAUCAUCAUCGGCUAACUCCGUGCCAGCAGCCGCGGUAAUACGGGGGAUGCAAGCGUUAUCCGGAAUUAUUGGGCGUAAAGCGUCCGUAGGUGGUUUUAAAAGUCUGUUGUCAAAUCACGAGGCUUAACCUCGUACAGGCAGUGGAAACUAUAAGACUAGAGUGCGGUAGGGGUAGAGGGAAUUUCCAGUGUAGCGGUGAAAUGCGUAGAUAUUGGAAAGAACACCGGUGGCGAAGGCGCUCUACUGGGCCUGCACUGACACUGAGGGACGAAAGCUAGGGGAGCGAAAGGGAUUAGAUACCCCUGUAGUCCUAGCCGUAAACGAUGGAAACUAGGUGUUGCCCGUAUCGACCCGGGCAGUGCCGUAGCUAACGCGUUAAGUUUCCCGCCUGGGGAGUACGCUCGCAAGAGUGAAACUCAAAUGAAUUGACGG
RNAcentral lists this ribosomal RNA (789 nucleotides) under uncultured cyanobacterium. Its description in RNAcentral is "bacterial SSU rRNA". It matches the Rfam family "Bacterial small subunit ribosomal RNA", at positions 93 to 916 of the family's 1533-position model. Lineage: Bacteria; Bacillati; Cyanobacteriota. The record is from RNAcentral.